This 216-nucleotide ribosomal RNA is filed under the name Glomeromycotina sp. Its description in RNAcentral is "partial small subunit ribosomal RNA". The stretch from base 40 to 216 matches the Rfam family "Eukaryotic small subunit ribosomal RNA", at positions 686 to 864 of the family's 1831-position model. The record is from RNAcentral. Lineage: Eukaryota; Fungi; Glomeromycota.
GGGUCAGUAGGUUGGUCGUGCCACCGGUACGUACUGGCCUCACUGAUUCCUCCUUCCUGAAGAACCGUAAUGCCAUUAAUUUGGUGUUGCGGGGAAACAGGACUGUUACUUUGAAAAAAUUAGAGUGUUUAAAGCAAGCUAACGCUUGAAUACAUUAGCAUGGAAUAAUGGAAUAGGACGAUCGAUCCUAUUUUGUUGGUUUCUAGGAUUGACGUA